Molecule: long non-coding RNA, 231 nt
Filed under: Marmota monax (woodchuck)
Lineage: Eukaryota; Metazoa; Chordata; Mammalia; Rodentia; Sciuridae
Source: RNAcentral
AUAAAUUGGUGCAUUAUACCUCUUUUUCCGGCUGGAACCAUGGAGGGUGCCGAAGAGAAGAAAAAGAAGGUUCCUGCUAUACCAUAAACUCUUAAGAAAAAGCGAAGGAAAAGUGCAGAACUGAAGGUAAAGUGCCCGAGGAAGAAGUUUGCCCAAAAGAUGCUUCAAAAGGCAAGGAGGAAGCUAAUCUAUGAAAAAGCCAAGCAUUACCACAAGGAAUAUAGGCAAAUG